GGGUGUGAAAACUUUGGGCUCAACCCAAAGCGUGCAUUCGAUACUGCCGUGACUAGAGUUCGGUAGGGGAGUGGGGAAUUCCUAGUGUAGCGGUGAAAUGCGCAGAUAUUAGGAGGAACACCGGUGGCGAAGGCGCCACUCUGGGCCGAAACUGACGCUGAGGAGCGAAAGCGUGGGUAGCAAACAGGAUUAGAUACCCUGGUAGUCCACGCCGUAAACGUUGGGCACUAGGUGUGGGUCUCAACCAACGAGAUCCGCGCCGUCGCAAACGCAUUAAGUGCCCCGCCUGGGGAGUACGGCCGCAAGGUUAAAACUCAAAGGAAUUGACGGGGGCCCGCACAAGCAGCGGAGCGUGUUGCUUAAUUCGAUGCAACGCGAAGAACCUUACCUGGGCUUGACAUGUACGGAAAAGCCGUAGAGAUACGGUGUCCUCGGGUCGUACGACAGGUGGUGCGAUGGUCGUGUUCGUCUAGCUCGUGUCGUG
This 484-nucleotide ribosomal RNA is filed under the name uncultured bacterium. Its description in RNAcentral is "bacterial SSU rRNA". It matches the Rfam family "Bacterial small subunit ribosomal RNA", at positions 590 to 1069 of the family's 1533-position model. The record is from RNAcentral.